GUUCUGCGUCCGAGAGAGAGAGAGGUAACUCACUUCCGGCGAGGUGUGCGAACGUUGGGAGGGUGGACUGAGGAGCUGUAUGGGAUGUCGGCAGCAAUGGCGGUCUGUAUGGAGAUGUAUUGAAACAUAACCGCGGCUAGGUUAUGUGAAUCUCAUUAAAGGUGUGAGCCAACGUGUGCAGUAUUGCAGUGGGCUGGUGUCUGGCUCGGUGCGUGUUUCAACUAUUGUUGGAGGCUUGAUGAUUGGCUGUUCCAGUGGCAGCAAAUUGUUUUCCCAUACUGGGGCAUUGUGCCUCAGCAUCGGAAUUAUCACCUCGUUUGCCCGGGAUCGUACGAUGCUGUAGUCAAAUUGAGCUGGCGGAUCGGUCCGAGUAACCGGUCGUUAGAUUGUGCAAGUGCACUUUUUCUUUAUAAACUGAGUACAUUGACUGUGUACAACUUUCACAGGAUCAGCUGGACUGGGGUGCGGCGUUCUUCUCACUCCUUUGAUGGGUUGUGAGUAACGUGAAACAGAAACCUUGCAAUUAAAGUCUAUAGCAGUGUAUAACAGACAAUCGGCUUUUUUGCGUCACCGUCCUUUUUGAGUUUGUUUUUGUUUGAUUUGAUUCUUAAAUGAAGUUUAUUUUGAUGUGUUUAUGGUAUGUUUUAUUUUAUUGUAACCAGUUUGCGGUUAUGGCCUGGUUCUAGCCCGCGUUCAGAGCUGUAGUGUGCUGGACGCGAUCCCUCACCUAUUUGGGCAGAACUGAGACGUUGAAUACUUUUCAUGUUUUAAAUUGUGUAUUGUAUAUGUGAUCUGACCAUGGUGUUUUAAAUCUAAUUAAGUGUUGGAGUUAUUGAUUCUUUAUCUUUUUUUUUUCUCAUCAGAAUCGGGUGGCCAAUUGCGGAGGGGCAGCCUUCCCUUGAGUGUGGUGGUGGGCUUUUUGCCUGAAUGCCGUGUUCACUGGAGGUGUGGUAUGCUGUGGUGUGAGUGUGCACUGUUGAUUGCUGUUUCCAUCCUGUCUAGGUGUGCCACCCGCAAUUCUGAAGGGUUGAUAUUAGUAUAGUUUCAUUUGCUUUUCUUCUGAGUUUGUCAUAUAUUAAUAAAGAUGGUAUUUU
Long non-coding RNA from Onychostoma macrolepis, 1094 nucleotides. RefSeq lists it as uncharacterized. NCBI's taxonomy places the organism in Eukaryota, Metazoa, Chordata, Actinopteri, Cypriniformes, Cyprinidae. The record is from RefSeq and is a predicted model, not a curated record. The transcript is spliced from 3 exons.